Molecule: transfer RNA, 76 nt
Filed under: Serratia symbiotica
Lineage: Bacteria; Pseudomonadati; Pseudomonadota; Gammaproteobacteria; Enterobacterales; Yersiniaceae
Description: tRNA-Ala
Rfam family: tRNA
About the family: Transfer RNA (tRNA) molecules are approximately 80 nucleotides in length.
Source: RNAcentral
GGGGCUAUAGCUCAGUUGGGAGAGCGCUUGCAUGGCAUGCAAGAGGUCGUCGGUUCGAUCCCGUCUAGCUCCACCA